Molecule: ribosomal RNA, 449 nt
Filed under: uncultured bacterium
Lineage: Bacteria
Description: bacterial SSU rRNA
Rfam family: Bacterial small subunit ribosomal RNA
Source: RNAcentral
GUCGAGAAUUUUUCACAAUGGGCGCAAGCCUGAUGGAGCGACGCCGCGUGGGGGAUGAAUGGCUUCGGCCCGUAAACCCCUGUCAUUCGCGAUCAACCCUUGGUGUUUAAGAGAUGCCAAGCUGAUAGUAGCGGAAGAGGAAGGGACGGCUAACUCUGUGCCAGCAGCCGCGGUAAUACAGAGGUCCCGAGCGUUGUUCGGAUUCACUGGGCGUAAAGGGUGCGUAGGUGGUGAGGUAAGUCGGAUGUGAAAUUCUGGAGCUUAACUCCGGAACGGCAUUGGAAACUACCUUGCUGGAGGGUUGGAGGGGGGACUGGAAUUCUCGGUGUAGCAGUGAAAUGCGUAGAUAUCGAGAGGAACACCAGUGGCGAAGGCGAGUCCCUGGACAACACCUGACACUGAGGCACGAAAGCUAGGGGAGCAAACAGGAUUAGAUACCCCAGUAGUCC